This 497-nucleotide ribosomal RNA is filed under the name uncultured bacterium. RNAcentral's name for it is "partial 16S ribosomal RNA". It matches the Rfam family "Bacterial small subunit ribosomal RNA", at positions 28 to 507 of the family's 1533-position model. The record is from RNAcentral.
GAUGAACGCUGGCGGCGUGCCUAAUACAUGCAAGUCGAGCGAACGGACGAGAAGCUUGCUUCUCUGAUGUUAGCGGCGGACGGGUGAGUAACACGUGGAUAACCUACCUAUAAGACUGGGAUAACUUCGGGAAACCGGAGCUAAUACCGGAUGAUAUUUUGAACCGCAUGGUUCAAAAGUGAAAGACGGUCUUGCUGUCACUUAUAGAUGGAUCCGCGCUGCAUUAGCUAGUUGGUAAGGUAACGGCUUACCAAGGCAACGAUGCAUAGCCGACCUGAGAGGGUGAUCGGCCACACUGGAACUGAGACACGGUCCAGACUCCUACGGGAGGCAGCAGUAGGGAAUCUUGCGCAAUGGGCGAAAGCCUGACGGAGCAACGCCGCGUGAGUGGUGAAGGUCUUCGGAUCGUAAAACUCUGUUAUUAGGGAAGAACAUAUGUGUAAGUAACUGUGCACAUCUUGACGGUACCUAAUCAGAAAGCCACGGCUAACUACGUG